Molecule: non-coding RNA, 101 nt
Organism: Lactifluus subvellereus
Lineage: Eukaryota; Fungi; Basidiomycota; Agaricomycetes; Russulales; Russulaceae
Source: the annotation of a GenBank genome assembly
GCCGGGGUAGCUCAGCUGGGAGAGCAACAGACUGAAGUGACGACACUUCCUGCAUAUUGGGUGCAUUCUGGAGGUCCCGUGUUCAAUCCACGGUCCUGGCA